RNAcentral lists this ribosomal RNA (1407 nucleotides) under Triticum aestivum (bread wheat). RNAcentral describes it as "partial small subunit ribosomal RNA". Lineage: Eukaryota; Viridiplantae; Streptophyta; Magnoliopsida; Poales; Poaceae. The record is from RNAcentral.
AUGGGACCCACCUGUCAUUCUCUGUUUAGGUUAAUUAGGGUUUAUCUAAUUAAUUACUCCGUCGUUGUCGCGGGGCAGGGGCGGCCGUCGGCUAGCAGUGGUGGGGCACGAUUGGGGAUGCGCACAGGGGUGCGACGAGGCCGGACGUCAGCGCGGGGAGCAGAGGGGGGUGAAAGGCAGACGCGAGGGGCGCUUAGGCGAGCGCUUGCCCGCAGGAGCUCUGUUUCCCGCUCCGGUUGUACUGCACGUGUGAGCGGUCGUACCGCUCAGUCCUUGGGCGGUACUACCCGCCUUUGUACUGCUUCUCAAUACACUAGAUCAAACAUUCCAUAUCAUCAUCCUACCAAAAAAACGGAUCUGGAUAUAAAUAUACCUGCAGUUCUUCUGCCAAAAGAUGCAGGCACCAUUUUACAGGGUCUUUUCUCACUUGGUAAAGUGUCAGUGCAGUUAUACUCUCCAGAUCGACCCCUAGUUGAUACGGCUGAGGAUGGCCAUGAAAGUUCAGUUAACAUUGAUGCCGAAGGUUCUACUGGUAUGGUAGAUAUCACCAUGACAUCGGCAAUGCUGUUUAUUGUGGUUGCAUCACUGUUUUUGGUAAUGCUUUACAAAUUGAUGUCUCACUGGUUUGUGGAGCUCCUGGUGGUUAUAUUUUGCAUUGGUGGUGUAGAGGGUUUGCAAACAUGUUUGGUGGCUUUAUUGUCAAGAUGGUUCAAACCUGCCGCAAAAUCAUUUGUAGAAGUGCCAUUUUUUGGAGCUGUUUCAUACCUUACAUUGGCAGUUUGUCCAUUUUGCAUCGUCUUUGCUGUUUUAUGGGCUGUUUAUCGUAUCGCACUGAUUGUUACUGUGAUCCAGAUUGUGAGGAUACCUAACCUUAAGGUGGAGUCUGUUCUUCUGGGCUGCUCCUUCCUCUAUGACAUCUUCUGGGUUUUCAUAUCCAAGAUGUUGUUUCAUGAGAGCGUGAUGAUUGUGGUUGCACGUGGUGAUAAUACUGACGAAGAUGGUGUACCCAUGCUGUUAAAGAUCCCACGCAUGUUUGAUCCAUGGGGUGGAUACAGCAUCAUAGGCUUUGGUGAUAUCCUUCUUCCAGGACUGCUGGUUGCUUUUGCGCUAAGGUACGAUUGGGCUGCCAGGAAGACCUUACAAUCUGGUUACUUUCUGUGGUCAAUGGUUGCGUAUGGCUCUGGUCUUCUGAUCACCUACAUUGCCUUGAAUCUCAUGGAUGGCCACGGGCAACCGGCUCUUCUUUACAUCGUGCCCUUCAUGCUUGGAACUUUCAUAUCACUCGGUAAAAAGCAGGGCAAGCUCAGGAACCUGUGGAUGAAAGGACAGCGUCCGAGAGUCUGCAUGCACUCGCAUCAUCCUCUGAAGGGCUCUGCGGACUCCGCCUCUCAUGUAAUCUCAUCAUAG